GUGGUUACCUAAGUGUUGUGAGAACCAAGGCGAGUGUUUUUGGUGACUCAGGAUAAUUACGUAAGUGUUUUCAUACCGGAUAUACCUUCUAAGGCUGCAGAAGGAAGCUGUGUACGGGUAAAAGUCAGCAGUGGACUUACCGAAGCUCUGUGACGUCAGGACAAAGGGAAGAGUUGAGGUCCGCCACUGCACUGAUCGUCCUCGGUCCGCCGACUCGCUGGAAGUGCGUUGGUGGAGAAGAGGAAACUGGGCCAGAAUAAACCGUGGUUGUAUAUCCAUAAACCCCCUGUCUAUGUGGGCCGUCGCUCCCUGAUGAAGAGUCGUGAGGGGCGAGGCGUGGAGGCAGAAUGGGGCGCAAGGAAGCGAGUGAUUUGUCGCCGAUGAAUGAGGAAGAUGUCUCACUUUUCCUGACAUAAGUGGCGUGGAAAGAAAAGGGUUGCAUCUGUUCGCGCGUAAUACCAUACGGGAAGCACACGAGGGAAAAAACGUAAUCAGGUGUAGCAUGAGAAACACAACCUGAAUCACUGGGAAUAUCAUUAUAAGCUCCACGCCAUUCACGUCACGCAUGCCUCAUAAAAGAAGAAAGAAGAAAAACCAACAGCCAUCUAUACCAACCCAAUGCACGUCUAUUCAUUCCCUCACCCGCACUGUACGAGUACCUCCCCCAUGCUUCUCACUGUCACCUGUCCAUUCGAACUUGAUUUACGGAUGCACCAACACGUAGGCAGAUCAAAG
Portunus trituberculatus (swimming crab) is the source of this 735-nucleotide long non-coding RNA. RefSeq lists it as uncharacterized. Lineage: Eukaryota; Metazoa; Arthropoda; Malacostraca; Decapoda; Portunidae. The transcript is spliced from 4 exons. The record is from RefSeq and is a predicted model, not a curated record.